UUAAAUUGAAGAGUUUGAUCAUGGCUCAGAUUGAACGCUGGCGGCCGGCCUAAAACAUGCAAGUCGAGCGGAAACG
RNAcentral lists this ribosomal RNA (76 nucleotides) under Vibrio parahaemolyticus. Its description in RNAcentral is "partial 16S ribosomal RNA". It matches the Rfam family "Bacterial small subunit ribosomal RNA", at positions 1 to 74 of the family's 1533-position model. Lineage: Bacteria; Pseudomonadati; Pseudomonadota; Gammaproteobacteria; Vibrionales; Vibrionaceae. The record is from RNAcentral.